AAUUUGUAAUUUCAAAUUGGAUACUUUUUGGACCUAUGUACAUGUAUGUGAACAUGGUCGAAAGUUGAGUGAGAGAUUAUUGAUAUCUAAAUGGCCAGCGGAGGACCAACAGAUGGUAAAUUUAUUGUUUUGUUUAAUUUAAGGAUGUUUGCUACUCUGUUUCAAAAUAAUUCAAUAGAUUGUUAUGAAUUGAUAGUAUCAUUGAUACUAUUCAUAAAUAAAGGAACUAAAAAAGCAGAUCAAAAUGAAGGGAUCGUGUGCUUGUUUUCGAGAUAUUAGCAAUUGGAAAUUUGGCGGGAUAUUAUUCUCUCUAGACUUUUUAAACUUUUAACAUAAGUACUCUAUUUCCAGUUUUAAAAAAUGAAAACAUAUUAAGGAUUUUAUAGGAUUUAUAAACUACUAUAUGUAAUAAAAUUGUGAAAAGAAAAGUAAGGGUUGGCAGGGAAGUUAUUGUAAUUGCACUAUAUGCCAAAAACCAGAGGAUUCCGAAAAUUUCUAAAAACGAGAGGAGCGAACAUCCCCAAAGGAUUUCUAUUUCUAUUAUAUUUAUGUUGUUAUUUCAUUAAUACUUGCACCGUUGUAACACAAUAACACACACCAUUUUGAUUCAAUUAAAAGACAUCUGCACAUUUGAAUUUAUGAAGGAAUUAACAACUGAAAUUAUAUUAAAGAAUACUUUUGUUAUCCACAGAUUGAAGACGGCUCCAUAUAAUUUUAAGACAUUUGUUUACAAAUUUCUAAUGCACUCAUUUUGUAAGAUUUAUGAAUAUAAUUAUAUCACUAAUGCAAUGCAGUGUAAUGUAAGGUUAUUAUGCAAUAAUUUUAUUAUAGACAUUGAACCUGCUCCACCAUACGAACCACCAAACAGAUUUUCAAACAUUCACCAUGGACCAGGUCCAAGUGAUUUCGGGAGGGGUUCACAUCCAGCCCCUAACAACUUUUUGUUCAACAGAGCUACAUAUCCAGAGCUUCCAGGUUUUUAUGAUGAAUAUGGACAUGACCAAUUCAAGAUGAUAGAAUUAAAUUCGAAACAUAAAGCGAAGAUGAGACGUCAGCUCCAUCAACAUAAUACAACGGUAUGAGCAAUAACUAUACAUCUAUCUUGGAAUGUAUCAAUGUAUUAGAAAUAUUUAAUCACUAGUUUACGCACAUUCUCCAAAAGUUUAUUCAAAUAUUCGAUGACGCGACGUCAUUAUCUACGUCACAGAUAUAAAAAUACUCAUGCCAAUUCUACCUUCUGCUCCUUUAUAACGUUUUACGAAAAAUCCCGAUAAAAAAUGACACGAUGAACGAUGUUUUUAUUGGCGCAAUGUGGAAGAAACUGAAAAUGGCCCAAGUAUAAAUUUUUACUCAAAGCCUAGUCUUAUGAUACAGAGCUAAUAAACGACAACUAAUCAAUUACAGGCUCUUGACAUCGGACAGGCAC
This 1426-nucleotide long non-coding RNA is filed under the name Mytilus galloprovincialis (Mediterranean mussel). Lineage: Eukaryota; Metazoa; Mollusca; Bivalvia; Mytilida; Mytilidae. The record is from RNAcentral.